AAGUCGUAACAAGGUUUCCGUAGGUGAACCUGCGGAAGGAUCAUUAAAGAAUGCCCCGUUUUUUGAAAUGGGUUCUGUUCCCAAACCGUGUAUACAUACUUUUGUUGCUUUGGCAGGCCGCCUUCGGGCGUCGGCUCACGCUGACAGCGCCUGCCAGAGGACCCAAACUCGUUUGUUUAGUGAUGUCUGAGUACUAUAUAAUAGUUAAAACUUUCAACAACGGAUCUCUUGGUUCUGGCAUCGAUGAAGAACGCAGCGAAAUGCGAUAAGUAAUGUGAAUUGCAGAAUUCAGUGAAUCAUCGAAUCUUUGAACGCACAUUGCGCCCGCUGGUAUUCCGGCGGGCAUGCCUGUUCGAGCGUCAUUAUGACCAAUCAAGCUCUGCUUGGCCUUGGGGCCCGCUGUACCGGCGGCCCUUAAAAUUAGUGGCGGUGCCGUCUGGGUCUAAGCGUAGUAAUACUUCUCGCUAUAGGGUCCAGUCGUUUACCCGCCAGAACCCCCAACUUUCUUAGGUUGACCUCGGAUCAGGUAGGGAUACCCGCUGAGCUUAA
RNAcentral lists this ribosomal RNA (549 nucleotides) under uncultured fungus. RNAcentral describes it as "eukaryotic LSU rRNA". The stretch from base 209 to 362 matches the Rfam family "5.8S ribosomal RNA". The record is from RNAcentral. Lineage: Eukaryota; Fungi.